AGCCGCGACGGCGGCGGACGGAGGGGGAGGGCCGCGAGCCUUCGGAACCAGCCUCGAGGGUGCUGAACCCCGCGCGCCCGCCUCGCCGCGGCCCCCGGGUGGGGGCGUCCACGGCCCGGGUUCCCGGCGGGCUUGGGGCAGGGACGCAGUCCGGAGAUUCCGGGACUGCCCGGCUGCUGCAGCCCGCAGGCUCCUCUCUCCUCCCCGCUUCCCCUCCGCACUGCCUGGGCUAAAGGCGGCCAAGCUGAGGCUCCGAAAGAAAAGGGAAAAUUGCAACCCUUGCCUACAACCAGACUGACAGCAUAAUUUCUUAGGAAUCAAGAAUCAAUACAGGGUUAUUUCUUUAGAUUAAACCUUAAAAGCCCCCUUGGAGGCUGAAGAAGCAGAGGAUAGCCAUGCAUACACUUGAACGUGAAAAAUGGUCCUCUUUCAUUGGAGAGGUCUUCCUCUUCAGCUAAACCGACAGAGUGGUGAAAAGAAGAAGGGACCCCUUGUUGACCAAAAUAAUCCAGACAAAUCAAAUCGGCCCUUUCCAGCAAGGAGUGGAACAGCCCAAGGGUGGCUAGAUCACAUCUUCUGCUCACACCACCACUGAGCAACCCUCUCCAGGACUGCCACCUAUGCAUAGGUCAUGCCCUGUGCAAGAGCACAUAAAGUGGGAGCUGAAGUCCUGCCCAGGCUCCAUUCACCAAGCAGAGCUUAUGUUGUUGUGUGUCUGUGUCUACCCAGAGGAUGUGGGUCCUUUUUAAAAUGUGCACCAAUGCAUCUUGUAUGAGCUGGCACCAGCUCGGACCAUCCCACCCUCAUACCCUGGUCCUAUCCAGGGUUAUAUUCCCUACUUUAGAAGAAUUAAUUAUUUUUAUGAACGUAUUUAGUUUAUUGUAAAAAAUGAAAUAUAUGACACAAAUUGAAAUUAAUUUCAGAGGUAAAGGUCAGAAUAUUACCAUGUAUGUGAAUUAUGUUUGUAUGUAUAUGUAUAUAUCAAGAGAGUUAUAUGAAUAUACAUUUUUGUGUAUCAGAAGUGAGGACAAUUUAACUUUGUUAAGUGUUUGAAAUAAAAUUAUUUUGAGUUUUGGA
RNAcentral lists this long non-coding RNA (1077 nucleotides) under Homo sapiens (human). RNAcentral's name for it is "HSALNT0322682". Lineage: Eukaryota; Metazoa; Chordata; Mammalia; Primates; Hominidae. The record is from RNAcentral.